This 504-nucleotide ribosomal RNA is filed under the name Microctonus aethiopoides. Its description in RNAcentral is "partial 16S large subunit ribosomal RNA". The record is from RNAcentral. Lineage: Eukaryota; Metazoa; Arthropoda; Insecta; Hymenoptera; Braconidae.
GUCUUAUUGAAAAUAAUUUUAAGUCUAAUCUGCUCAAUGAAACUUUAAAUAGCUGCAGUAUCAAUAACUGUACUAAGGUAGCAUAAUAAUUAGAUUUUUAAUUAAAAUCUAGAAUGAAAGAUUUAAUGAAGUAAAAACUGUUUCUGAUUAAAUAAAUAAAUUUAUUAUUAAAGUUAAAAAACUUUAAUAAAAUUAAAAGACGAAAAGACCCUAUAGAAUUUUAUAAAAUUUAUUAAUAAAUUAACUAUUUUAAUUAAUUAAUAAAUUUUUAUUUAAUUGGGGCAAUUUUAAAAUUUUCAUAAUUUUUAAAUUUAUCUACAUUAAUUAAUGAAUAAUUAAACUAAUUUAAAAUUUAAUAAAAUUAAUUACCUUAGGGAUAACAGCAUAAUAUUUUUUUUUAGUACAUAUAAAUAAAAAAGUUUAUGACCUCGAUGUUGAAUUAAGAUAAAAAUAAUUUGAAAAUAAAUUAAAUUUUAAGUCUGUUCGACUUUUAAAUUCUUACAU